GACGAACGCUGGCGGCGUGCUUAACACAUGCAAGUCGUACGGAAAGGCCCUGCUUGCAGGGUACUCGAGUGGCGAACGGGUGAGUAACACGUGGGUGAUCUGCCCUGCACUUCGGGAUAAGCUUGGGAAACUGGGUCUAAUACCGGAUAGGAGCCAUCUUUAGUGUGGUGGUUGGAAAGUUUUUUCGGUGUAGGAUGAGCUCGCGGCCUAUCAGCUUGUUGGUGGGGUAAUGGCCUACCAAGGCGGCGACGGGUAGCCGGCCUGAGAGGGUGUACGGCCACAUUGGGACUGAGAUACGGCCCAGACUCCUACGGGAGGCAGCAGUGGGGAAUAUUGCACAAUGGGCGCAAGCCUGAUGCAGCGACGCCGCGUGGGGGAUGAAGGCCUUCGGGUUGUAAACUCCUUUCGCUAGGGACGAAGCUUUUUUGUGACGGUACCUAGAUAAGAAGCACCGGCUAACUACGUG
RNAcentral lists this ribosomal RNA (466 nucleotides) under uncultured bacterium. RNAcentral's name for it is "partial 16S ribosomal RNA". It matches the Rfam family "Bacterial small subunit ribosomal RNA", at positions 28 to 507 of the family's 1533-position model. The record is from RNAcentral.